This 253-nucleotide ribosomal RNA is filed under the name uncultured bacterium. RNAcentral describes it as "partial 16S ribosomal RNA". It matches the Rfam family "Bacterial small subunit ribosomal RNA", at positions 524 to 776 of the family's 1533-position model. The record is from RNAcentral.
GACAGAGGAUGCAAGCGUUAUCCGGAAUGAUUGGGCGUAAAGCGUCUGUAGGUGGCUUUUUAAGUCUGCCGUCAAAUCCCAGGGCUUAACCCUGGACAGGCGGUGGAAACUACCAAGCUGGAGUACGGUAGGGGCAGGGGGAAUUUCCGGUGGAGCGGUGAAAUGCGUAGAGAUCGGAAAGAACACCAACGGCGAGAGCACUCUGCUGGGCCGACACUGACACUGAGAGACGAAAGCUAGGGGAGCGAAUGGG